GGCCUGGUGAUCUGCUCCUGAUCCUGGCAGGCCAUGGUGCUACUCCUUCCUGUAAUUCCCUCCUCCGGCCGCCACCGUCUCCCUUGCACGCUGCGUGCUGAACACGUGGGACCACACUGGCCCCCGGAGGAAGCUCCUUGCCAGCGGGGCCGAGGACUUCCACGACUUGGUUGCAGAAUGAGCGAAUGGAUGUUUCUCAGAGGAUGAAGGCAAUAAAAGUGAGAUAAUGAACCUAGAAGGGGAUCUGGGGAUAGAAACCACACCUAGAGCCGAGGUAGCUUCCUGUGGGAAGCCCGGAGUGCACUUUGGAGCCACGAGUCCCAGCAUGGCCCUCUGCUGCCUGUGUGUCCCUGGGGCAAGUUAACUUUCCUUUUCUAAGCCUCAGCUUUCCUCAUCUGCAAAGUGGGGGACAGCGGCCCCCUUUAGAGGAUAAUCGGGAGGAUGAAAUAAGGUGAUACAGAGGAGUGUCCAGCCCUGUGCUGAAGGUAGAGCUGGUGGGGCCUGUUCACCCCCUCUUU
RNAcentral lists this long non-coding RNA (518 nucleotides) under Marmota monax (woodchuck). Lineage: Eukaryota; Metazoa; Chordata; Mammalia; Rodentia; Sciuridae. The record is from RNAcentral.